RNAcentral lists this ribosomal RNA (1949 nucleotides) under marine metagenome. Its description in RNAcentral is "bacterial LSU rRNA". It matches the Rfam family "Bacterial large subunit ribosomal RNA", at positions 3 to 1977 of the family's 2925-position model. The record is from RNAcentral.
UCAAGCGACUAAGCGCAUACGGUGGAUGCCUUGGCAGUCAGAGGCGAUGAAGGACGUAGUAGCCUGCGAAAAGCUUCGGGGAGUCGGCAAACAGACUUUGAUCCGGAGAUGUCCGAAUGGGGAAACCCACCUGGUGUAAGCCAGGUAUCCUGCACUGAAUACAUAGGUGUAGGAGGCGAACGAGGGGAACUGAAACAUCUAAGUACCCUUAGGAAGAGAAAUCAAUUGAGAUUCCCUCAGUAGCGGCGAGCGAACGGGGAAUAGCCUGCAAGUGAUAGCAGCGAGGUUAGUGGAACGGUCUGGAAAGUCCGGCGAUAGAGGGUGAUAGCCCCGUACACGAAAACUUUGCUGUGGUACUAAGCUUGCGACAAGUAGGUCGGGACACGAGUUAUCUUGACUGAACAUGGGGGGACCAUCCUCCAAGGCUAAAUACUACUGACUGACCGAUAGUGAACCAGUACCGUGAGGGAAAGGCGAAAAGAACCCCGGAGAGGGGAGUGAAAUAGAACCUGAAACCGUAUGCGUACAAGCAGUGGGAGCAGACUUGUUCUGUGACUGCGUACCUUUUGUAUAAUGGGUCAGCGACUUAUUGUCUGUAGCGAGCUUAACCGUUUAGGGGAGGCGUAGGGAAACCGAGUCUUAAUAGGGCGUCAUAGUUGCAGGCAAUAGACCCGAAACCGGGCGAUCUAUCCAUGGCCAGGGUGAAGGUUGAGUAACAUCAACUGGAGGCCCGAACCCACUUAUGUUGAAAAAUGAGGGGAUGAGCUGUGGAUCGGAGUGAAAGGCUAAUCAAGCCCGGAGAUAGCUGGUUCUCCUCGAAAUCUAUUUAGGUAGAGCCUCGCGUCUUACCCUGGGGGGUAGAGCACUGUUUCGGCUAGGGGGUCAUCCCGACUUACCAACCCGAUGCAAACUCCGAAUACCCAGGAGUACAAUCGCGGGAGACAGACAGCGGGUGCUAACGUCCGUUGUCAAGAGGGCAACAACCCAGACCGCCAGCUAAGGUCCCUAAUACCAGUUAAGUGGGAAACGAUGUGGGAAGGCUUAGACAGCUAGGAGGUUGGCUUAGAAGCAGCCAUCCUUUAAAGAAAGCGUAAUAGCUCACUAGUCGAGUCGGCCUGCGCGGAAGAUUUAACGGGGCUAAACUGGUAACCGAAGCUGCGGAUGCGUGCUUGCACGCAUGGUAGAGGAGCGUUCUGUAAGCCGUUGAAGGUGAACCGGGAGGUUUGCUGGAGGUAUCAGAAGUGCGAAUGCUGACAUGAGUAACGACAAGGGGAGUGAAAAACUCCCCCGCCGGAAGAUCAAGGUUUCCUGCGCAACGCUAAUCGGCGCAGGGUGAGUCGGCCCCUAAGGCGAGGCAGAAAUGCGUAGUCGAUGGGAAACGGGUUAAUAUUCCUGUACUUCUUUAUAUUGCGAUGGAGGGACGGAGUAGGCUAGGCCAUCAGGGCGUUGGUUGUCCCUGUUUAAGGUUGUAGGCUGGCGGUUUAGGUAAAUCCGGACUGCUAAGGCUGAGAGCUGAUGACGAGUGUUACUGAGAGGUAACGCGAAGUGGUUGAUGCCAUGCUUCCAAGAAAAGCUUCUAAGCUUCAGAUAUGAAGGAACCGUACUGUAAACCGACACAGGUGAUCAGGUAGAGAAUACCAAGGCGCUUGAGAGAACUCGGGUGAAGGAACUAGGCAAAAUGGUACCGUAACUUCGGGAGAAGGUACGCCGGUUUGGGUGAUGGGACUUGCUCCCUGAGCCUGGGCUGGCCGAAGUGACCAGGUGGCUGCGACUGUUUAUUAAAAACAUAGCACUCUGCAAACACGUAAGUGGACGUAUAGGGUGUGACGCCUGCCCGGUGCCGGAAGGUUAAUUGAUGGGGUUAUCUUCGGAGAAGCUCUUGAUCGAAGCCCCGGUAAACGGCGGCCGUAACUAUAACGGUCCUAAGGUAGCGAAAUUCCUUGUCGGGU